This 382-nucleotide ribosomal RNA is filed under the name uncultured bacterium. Its description in RNAcentral is "bacterial SSU rRNA". It matches the Rfam family "Bacterial small subunit ribosomal RNA", at positions 29 to 416 of the family's 1533-position model. The record is from RNAcentral.
AGCGAACGCUAGCGGCGGGCCUAACACAUGCAAGUCGAGCGGGGAGCAAUCCCAGCGGCGAACGGGUGAGUAACACGUAGGUAAUGUGCCUUUUGGUGGGGAAUAACCGUGGGAAACCAUGGCUAAUACCGCAUAUCGUGCUUCGGCAUGAAAGCUUCUGAGGCAACUCGGGGGCGCCAGUUGAGCAGCCUGCGUCCCAUUAUUUAGUCCUAGUUGGUAGGGUAAUGGCCUACCAAGGGUACGAUGGGUAGCUGGUCUGAGAGGAUGAUCAGCCACACUGGAACUGAGACACGGUCCAGACUCCUACGGGAGGCAGCAGUGGGGAAUAUUGCGCAAUGGGGGGAAACCCUGACGCAGCCACGCCGCGUGAGUGAUGAAGGCC